RNAcentral lists this ribosomal RNA (710 nucleotides) under Escherichia coli. RNAcentral describes it as "partial 23S ribosomal RNA". It matches the Rfam family "Bacterial large subunit ribosomal RNA", at positions 528 to 1239 of the family's 2925-position model. The record is from RNAcentral. Lineage: Bacteria; Pseudomonadati; Pseudomonadota; Gammaproteobacteria; Enterobacterales; Enterobacteriaceae.
GGCGAGGGGAGUGAAAAAGAACCUGAAACCGUGUACGUACAAGCAGUGGGAGCCUCUUUUAUGGGGUGACUGCGUACCUUUUGUAUAAUGGGUCAGCGACUUAUAUUCUGUAGCAAGGUUAACCGAAUAGGGGAGCCGAAGGGAAACCGAGUCUUAACCGGGCGUUAAGUUGCAGGGUAUAGACCCGAAACCCGGUGAUCUAGCCAUGGGCAGGUUGAAGGUUGGGUAACACUAACUGGAGGACCGAACCGACUAAUGUUGAAAAAUUAGCGGAUGACUUGUGGCUGGGGGUGAAAGGCCAAUCAAACCGGGAGAUAGCUGGUUCUCCCCGAAAGCUAUUUAGGUAGCGCCUCGUGAAUUCAUCUCCGGGGGUAGAGCACUGUUUCGGCAAGGGGGUCAUCCCGACUUACCAACCCGAUGCAAACUGCGAAUACCGGAGAAUGUUAUCACGGGAGACACACGGCGGGUGCUAACGUCCGUCGUGAAGAGGGAAACAACCCAGACCGCCAGCUAAGGUCCCAAAGUCAUGGUUAAGUGGGAAACGAUGUGGGAAGGCCCAGACAGCCAGGAUGUUGGCUUAGAAGCAGCCAUCAUUUAAAGAAAGCGUAAUAGCUCACUGGUCGAGUCGGCCUGCGCGGAAGAUGUAACGGGGCUAAACCAUGCACCGAAGCUGCGGCAGCGACACUGUGUGUUGUUGGGUAGGGGAGCGU